CAACAACCGAUUCUGAAAUUGAUUGAGCUCGGAAUCCAAAAACAUCAGCUGUCUCCCGUUUCCAGAGAGUUCGCCGACCAGUUUUGCUUUCAAACUGAAGAGAAAACUACAGUUUAACUUCACCAGGCACAAUCAUCAGAAUGAGAUGCAGGAAAAUAUUAACCCAGAAUGGUUUCAUUUUACCGUCCAGUUGUAGAUUCAUUUCACAAAUGAUAAUCGUGUAUGUCCAAAAGGUUUUGUGCGGAUCUGCGAAUUCGGUUUUUGUGGAAUAAUUCGACCAAGGGCUAUGAUGUAGCAGCGGUCAGAGUAGGUCCAAUCAUACGGCUUCAUCCCACCCCGAAAGCAGAUGAGCGCUGGGGAAUGUUUUCAGCCACCUGGAGGAGGAAGUUCAGCGCGGAAGAAAUGUUACCAGACUUCACCGAUCUGGUAUCUGGACUUUUUUGAUGAUCUCAUAGAGAUUGUGUGUGCAGAUGGGCGGUUAAAGUUCUGGGAGGGAAAGAUUUGUAACUUUAAGGUAAAUUGUUUGGAGUCAUUUGUUUUUUAUUACAACUAUUGACGGACGUUUCAUUGCAGGAUAUAUAUGAAGCCGAAAACACCCACAACAAUGGGGUAACUAACAUAAACCUCGCCGGUGACGGAGUUGAGUGAACGAAUCGAUUUUCUGAGACUGGAAACGUACACGUAAGGUUGUCAGAUCGAUUGGGGAUUUACGUCUGUAUAUGGGCGAAGUAAGUUCUAUGUUUCAAGCAAUUUUUUAAGCUCACCUAGGGCGCAGACAGAUUUUACUUGUUCUUUUAAAAUACUGUAUAUUCUAAGUCAUUUAAUUUUCAGUCUGUAAUGAGUAUGUCAUCAAGUGCCUUAAUUCUUAUUCUUUUUAGCUCACGUACGCAGCGGUUCGGCAGGAAGCAUUUCAGCAAUCCGCCGGAUCAAAUCCGUCCACAGCUUUCCCAGCUCAACAUCACGCAUCCGAGGAGGAGCUUCGAUGUAUCCUAGAGUUUCACCAGCAGGGUUACCGGUGACAUGUUUGGAAGUGGCGGGCGGUACAGUCAUGACUGGCAGCCAGGGCCACACUGUUAACGUGUUCCGGCUCGAUAGCCACCUAUUGCAGUUCACCCUAAACGGCCAUUGCGGUCCUAUUACAUGUAUUUUCAUAGACCAGUGGCAGGCUGAGAUGGGCGCAUCUGGUUGCCAGGAUGGUGUGCUAUAUGUGAGGGACUUGAUACGGGGUGCCUGUAUGUACAAAAUUGAAGCCCAUGACGACUCAAUCGUCGCACUUGCCUGUUCCCCGAGUUACGCAAUAUCGCUCGGACUGAACGAAUGAAUACGGUUCUGUGACUACGGAAAUCAAAUGAGAAUCGUUCGUUUCCCUCUUGUUGCGUCGGAAAAGUGGUUCGGUCGGGGGAAUCGUAAUCGACCAGCUAACGAAAACAAAUGUACAGCAGCUUCUGAACGAAGCCAUUGCUAGCACGAGUUUUUGAUUUGGAAGGAUAGUUG
Topomyia yanbarensis is the source of this 1494-nucleotide long non-coding RNA. RefSeq lists it as uncharacterized. The record is from RefSeq and is a predicted model, not a curated record. Lineage: Eukaryota; Metazoa; Arthropoda; Insecta; Diptera; Culicidae. The transcript is spliced from 3 exons.